GCCAUUUUAGUUUCACUGUGGACGGCGGUGAGGCCGCCCUACGGCGGCUGUGUGACAGGCGGCCGUGGGAGCGGGUCCCAGGCCCCUGCACAAGGGCCGCGUCUAUUGCAGACCAGAUAGGAGGAGCCAGACUUGACCUUGCGUGUGGAUACCACCUACUAAUCCUGCAGAAGGAAGAGACCUUUCCUCAUCGCCAGACAGCUGACCGGCCAGUGAAAAGCCACCAUUCUUGGAACCCCAAGUUUACUCCUAUAGACUUUUCAUUUAUGACAGGCUUCCUCAAUUACCCCCCCCUUUCGCCUUAAAAAAAGGGGGGGAUGCAUGUCUCCUUCAUUCUCCCAAUGUGCCUAUAGUUUUGCCACAGCUUGUUUGUCCCAGAAUACAAUUCUCUUUCAUCCCCGGAUGAACCCAUC
Hyaena hyaena (striped hyena) is the source of this 413-nucleotide long non-coding RNA. RefSeq lists it as uncharacterized. Lineage: Eukaryota; Metazoa; Chordata; Mammalia; Carnivora; Hyaenidae. The record is from RefSeq and is a predicted model, not a curated record. The transcript is spliced from 2 exons.